GUCUGGGUAGCUCAGUUGGUUAGAGCAGAGGACUGAAAAUCCUCGUGUCGGAAGUUCAAAUCUUCCUCUAGACA
This 74-nucleotide transfer RNA is filed under the name Trebouxia aggregata. Its description in RNAcentral is "tRNA-Phe". It matches the Rfam family "tRNA". Rfam says of the family: Transfer RNA (tRNA) molecules are approximately 80 nucleotides in length. Their secondary structure includes four short double-helical elements and three loops (D, anti-codon, and T loops). Lineage: Eukaryota; Viridiplantae; Chlorophyta; Trebouxiophyceae; Trebouxiales; Trebouxiaceae. The record is from RNAcentral. RNAcentral also lists the same sequence under 2 other names.